AAAGAAACCAACAGGGAUUGCCCAGUAACGGCGAGUGAAGCGGCAACAGCUCAAAUUUGAAAUCUGGCCCUCGGGUCCGAGUUGUAAUUUGUAGAGGAUGCUUUUGACGCGGUGCCUUCCGAGUGCCCUGGAACGGGACGCCAUAGAGGGUGAGAGCCCCGUCUGGUUGGACACCAAGUCUCUGUAAAGCUCCUUCGACGAGUCGAGUAGUUUGGGAAUGCUGCUCUAAAUGGGAGGUAUAUGUCUUCUAAAGCUAAAUACAGGCCAGAGACCGAUAGCGCACAAGUAGAGUGAUCGAAAGAUGAAAAGCACUUUGAAAAGAGGGUUAAAUAGUACGUGAAAUUGUUAAAAGGGAAGCGUUUAUGACCAGACUUGAGCUUGGUUGAUCAUCCGGCGUUCUCGCCGGUGCACUCUUCCGGCUCAGGCCAGCAUCAGUUCGUCGCGGGGGAUAAAGGCAGCGGGAACGUGGCUCCUCGGAGUGUUAUAGCCCGCUGUGUAAUACCCUGCUUUGGACUGAGGUUCGCGCUUCCGCAAGGAUGCUGGCGUAAUGGUCAUCAACGACCCGUCUUGAAACACGGACCAAGGAGUCGUCUUCGUAUGCGAGUGUUCGGGUGUCAAACCCCUACGCGUAAUGAAAGUGAACGCAGGUGAGAGCUUCGGCGCAUCAUCGACCGAUCCUGAUGUUCUCGGAUGGAUUUGAGUAAGAGCAUACGGGGCCGGACCCGAAAGAAGGUGAACUAUGCCUGUAUAGGGUGAAGCCAGGGGAAACCCUGGUGGAGGCUCGCAGCGGUUCUGACGUGCAAAUCGAUC
Molecule: ribosomal RNA, 810 nt
Filed under: Trichonectriella rhabdospora
Lineage: Eukaryota; Fungi; Ascomycota; Sordariomycetes; Hypocreales; Trichonectriaceae
Description: eukaryotic LSU rRNA
Rfam family: Eukaryotic large subunit ribosomal RNA
Source: RNAcentral